GAAGAGUUUGAUCCUGGCUCAGGACGAACGCUGGCGGCGUGGAUUAGGCAUGCAAGUCGAACGCGAAAGUUUUCCUUCGGGAGAAUGAUUAGAGUGGCGGACGGGUUAGUAACGCGUAGGUAAUCUACCUUCAAGAGUGGGAUAGCCCGAAGAAAUUCGGAUUAAUACCGCAUGUGGAGCUUCGGUUCUAAAGAUGGCCUCUGAUUUAAGCUAUCGCUUGGAGAUGAGCCUGCGUCCUAUUAGUUAGUUGGUAAGGUAAUGGCUUACCAAGGCUUUGAUAGGUAGGCGGCUUUAACGAGUGGUCGCCAACACUGGGAUUGAGAUACGGCCCAGACUCCUACGGGAGGCAGCAGUCGAGAAUAGUCUACAAUGGGGGAAACCCUGAUAGUGCGACGCCGCGUGGAUGAAGAAGCAUUUCGGUGUGUAAAGUCCUUUUCUGUGAGAGCAAUGUUUUCCAGGUUAAUAGCUUGGAGAAAGCGAUAUUAUUACAGGAAUAAGCUCCGGCUAACUCCGUGCCAGCAGCCGCGGUAACACGGGGGGAGCAAGCGUUGUCCGGAAUUACUAGGCGUAAAGGGCAAGUAGGCGGAAUGGUAAGUCAUAAGUUAAAGGCAUCAGCUCAACUGAUGUAUGGCUUAUGAUACUGUCAUUCUAGAGUAAGGUGGGGGAAGACGGAAUUCCUGGUGUAGCGGUGGAAUGCGCAGAUAUCAGGAGGAAC
RNAcentral lists this ribosomal RNA (715 nucleotides) under Candidatus Cloacimonadota bacterium. RNAcentral's name for it is "bacterial SSU rRNA". It matches the Rfam family "Bacterial small subunit ribosomal RNA", at positions 1 to 707 of the family's 1533-position model. Lineage: Bacteria; Pseudomonadati; Candidatus Cloacimonadota. The record is from RNAcentral.